This 205-nucleotide ribosomal RNA is filed under the name uncultured bacterium. RNAcentral describes it as "partial 16S ribosomal RNA". It matches the Rfam family "Bacterial small subunit ribosomal RNA", at positions 1288 to 1500 of the family's 1533-position model. The record is from RNAcentral.
CAUUCGGAUUGGAGUCUGCAACUCGACUCCAUGAAGCUGGAUUCGCUAGUAAUCGCGCAUCAGCCAUGGCGCGGUGAAUACGUUCCCGGGCCUUGUACACACCGCCCGUCAAGCCAUGGGAGUCGGGAGUGCCUGAAGUUCGUGACCGUCACAGGAGCGACCUAAGGCAAGACCGAUGACUGGGGCUAAGUCGUAACAAGGUACC